Molecule: ribosomal RNA, 514 nt
Filed under: uncultured microorganism
Description: bacterial SSU rRNA
Rfam family: Bacterial small subunit ribosomal RNA
Source: RNAcentral
GAGUUUGAUCCUGGCUCAGGAUGAACGCUGGCGGCGUGCCUAAUACAUGCAAGUCGAGCGAACGGACGAGAAGCUUGCUUCUCUGAUGUUAGCGGCGGACGGGUGAGUAACACGUGGAUAACCUACCUAUAAGACUGGGAUAACUUCGGGAAACCGGAGCUAAUACCGGAUAAUAUUUUGAACCGCAUGGUUCAAAAGUGAAAGACGGUCUUGCUGUCACUUAUAGAUGGAUCCGCGCUGCAUUAGCUAGUUGGUAAGGUAACGGCUUACCAAGGCAACGAUGCAUAGCCGACCUGAGAGGGUGAUCGGCCACACUGGAACUGAGACACGGUCCAGACUCCUACGGGAGGCAGCAGUAGGGAAUCUUCCGCAAUGGGCGAAAGCCUGACGGAGCAACGCCGCGUGAGUGAUGAAGGUCUUCGGAUCGUAAAACUCUGUUAUUAGGGAAGACAUAUGUGUAAGUAACUGUGCACAUCUUGACGGUACCUAAUCAGAAAGCCACGGCUAACUACGU